GACGAACGCUGGCGGCGUGCUUAACACAUGCAAGUCGAACGGAAAGGCCCUGCUGUUGUGGGGUGCUCGAGUGGCGAACGGGUGAGUAACACGUGAGUAACCUGCCCUUGACUUUGGGAUAACUUCAGGAAACUGGGGCUAAUACCGGAUAGGAGCUCCUGCUGCAUGGUGGGGGUGGGAAAGUUUCGGCGGUUGGGGAUGGACUCGCGGCUUAUCAGCUUGUUGGUGGGGUAGUGGCUUACCAAGGCUUUGACGGGUAGCAGGCCUGAGAGGGUGACCGGCCACAUUGGGACUGAGAUAAGACCCAGACUCCUACGGGAGGCAGCAGUGGGGAAUAUUGCCCAAUGGGCGGAAGCCUGAUGCAGCAACGCCGCGUGCGGGAUGACGGCCUUCGGGUUGUAAACCGCUUUCGCCUGUGACGAAGAGUGAGUGACGGUAAUGGGUAAAGAAGCACCGGCUAACUACGUG
RNAcentral lists this ribosomal RNA (468 nucleotides) under uncultured bacterium. RNAcentral's name for it is "partial 16S ribosomal RNA". It matches the Rfam family "Bacterial small subunit ribosomal RNA", at positions 28 to 507 of the family's 1533-position model. The record is from RNAcentral.